AGAGUUUGAUCCUGGCUCAAAUUGAACGCUGGCGGCAUGCCUUACACAUGCAAGUCGAACGGCAGCACGGGUGCUUGCACCUGGUGGCGAGUGGCGAACGGGUGAGUAAUACAUCGGAACGUGUCCUGUAGUGGGGGAUAGCCCGGCGAAAGCCGGAUUAAUACCGCAUACGCUCUGAGGAGGAAAGGGGGGGAUCGUCG
RNAcentral lists this ribosomal RNA (200 nucleotides) under uncultured bacterium. RNAcentral describes it as "partial 16S ribosomal RNA". It matches the Rfam family "Bacterial small subunit ribosomal RNA", at positions 8 to 213 of the family's 1533-position model. The record is from RNAcentral.